RNAcentral lists this ribosomal RNA (870 nucleotides) under uncultured Bacillota bacterium. RNAcentral's name for it is "bacterial SSU rRNA". It matches the Rfam family "Bacterial small subunit ribosomal RNA", at positions 58 to 936 of the family's 1533-position model. The record is from RNAcentral. Lineage: Bacteria; Bacillati; Bacillota.
CAAGUCGAACGAUUAAGACUUCCUUCGGGAAGUGCAUAAAGUGGCGCACGGGUGAGUAACACGUAAGUAAUCUACCUUCGAGUGGGGAAUAACGUCCGGAAACGGACGCUAAUACCGCAUAAUGCAGCGGCAUCGAAAGAUGACAGUUGUUAAAGGAGCAAUUCGCUUGAAGAGGAGCUUGCGGCAGAUUAGCUAGUUGGUAAGGUAAUGGCUUACCAAGGCUUCGAUCUGUAUCCGGUCUAAGAGGACGGUCGGACACACUGACACUGAAUAACGGGUCAGACUCCUACGGGAGGCAGCAGUCGGGAAUUUUGGGCAAUGGGCGAAAGCCUGACCCAGCAACGCCGCGUGAAGGAUGAAGUAUUUCGGUAUGUAAACUUCGAAAGAAUGGGAAGAACUCAAUGACGGUACCAUUUAUAAGCUCCGGCUAACUACGUGCCAGCAGCCGCGGUAAUACGUAGGGAGCAAGCGUUGUUCGGAUUUACUGGGCGUAAAGGGCGCGUAGGCGGCAAAUUAAGUCAGCUGUGAAAUCUCCGAGCUUAACUCGGAACUGUCAGCUGAUACUGAUCUGCUAGAGUGCGGAAGGGGCAAUCGGAAUUCUUGGUGUAGCGGUGAAAUGCGUAGAUAUCAAGAGGAACACCUGAGGUGAAGACGGGUUGCUGGGCCGACACUGACGCUGAGUGCGCGAAAGCCAGGGGAGCAAACGGGAUUAGAUACCCCGGUAGUCCUGGCCUUAAACGAUGAAUACUUGGUGUCUGGAGUCUCUAUAGCUCCGGGUGCCGUCGCUAACGUUUUUAGUAUUCCGCCUGGGGAGUACGCACGCAAGUGUGAAACUCAAAGGAAUUGACGGGGACCCGCACAAGCGGUGGA